RNAcentral lists this ribosomal RNA (382 nucleotides) under uncultured eukaryote. Its description in RNAcentral is "partial 18S ribosomal RNA". It matches the Rfam family "Eukaryotic small subunit ribosomal RNA", at positions 592 to 976 of the family's 1831-position model. The record is from RNAcentral.
UGUAAGCGUAUACCAAAGUUGUUGCAGUUAAAACGCUCGUAGUCGGAAUUUGGCAGUUCCGGAUGUGUGCACGUCGUGUGCGCACUUCGCGGGGAUUGCUUUUGUGGUCUUGCGUAGGAUGAGGCACUUUUAUUAGUGAACGUCCUCACGCAACCACUUUUUACUGUGAGAAAAUCAGAGUGCUCAAAGCAGGCAUUUGCCGUGAAUGUAUUAGCAUGGAAUAAUAGAAUAGGACUUGGUUCUAUUUUGUUGGUUUGUUGGGACUGAGUAAUGAUUAAGAGGGACAGUUGGGGGCAUUUGUAUUUCGGUGCUAGAGGUGAAAUUCUUAGAUUACCGAAAGACAAACUGCUGCGAAAGCGUCUGCCAAGGAUGUCUUCAUUGA